This 203-nucleotide unclassified non-coding RNA is filed under the name fungal sp. RNAcentral's name for it is "partial contains small subunit ribosomal RNA and internal#transcribed spacer 1". Lineage: Eukaryota; Fungi. The record is from RNAcentral.
GCUAAUGAGUCUGUUGACCGAAAGACCGAGGAAUAAGAAGGACAUGGAUGAAAAAGAAGUCGCAACCAUUGGUCGAGAGGACUUGGAGUGAGACAGACCGAACCUUGACCGAUUCUUCCGCAGUGCCCAGCUUGUAAUUCGUUCAAACUGGCAGAAUUCAGCUAACAUCAUGACAACCUAGCAAGAGGCGUUGCUCUUGGGCU